Molecule: small nucleolar RNA, 91 nt
Filed under: Neogobius melanostomus (round goby)
Lineage: Eukaryota; Metazoa; Chordata; Actinopteri; Gobiiformes; Gobiidae
Description: Small nucleolar SNORD12/SNORD106 (ENSNMLG00000020358.1)
Rfam family: Small nucleolar SNORD12/SNORD106
About the family: This family belong to the C/D class of snoRNA which contain the C (UGAUGA) and D (CUGA) box motifs. This family includes the human ortholog of mouse snoRNA HBII-99 and human snoRNA U106. In humans both HB11-99 and U106 snoRNAs share the same host gene.
Source: Rfam by way of RNAcentral
UAUGUGGCUGAAGAUGACCAUUUUUUUCCCCGUCUUAUCGAUUUUGGUGAAAAAAAGAAAGAUACUUAGCCAGUGUUUCUGAAGCCACAUU